Molecule: ribosomal RNA, 763 nt
Filed under: uncultured beta proteobacterium
Lineage: Bacteria; Pseudomonadati; Pseudomonadota; Betaproteobacteria
Description: bacterial SSU rRNA
Rfam family: Bacterial small subunit ribosomal RNA
Source: RNAcentral
UCAGAUUGAACGCUGGCGGUGUGCUUCACACAUGCAAGUCGAACGGAGUAGCAAUACUCAGUGGCGGACGGGUGAGUAACACGUGGGAAUCUACCAUUAGAUGGGGAAUAACAGGCCGAAAGGACUGCUAAUGCCGCAUAUGUAUGUGCCUCGACAGGGGCGUAUAUGAAAGGAGUAAUCCGUCUGAUGAUGAGCCCGCGUCCGAUUAGCUAGUUGGUAGGGUAAAAGCCUACCAAGGCGACGAUCGGUAGGUGGUCUGAGAGGAUGAUCACCCACAAUGGGACUGAGACACGGCCCAUACUCCUACGGGAGGCAGCAGUGGGGAAUUUUGUGCAAUGGGGGAAACCCUGACACAGCGACACCGCGUGAGCGAAGAAGCCCUUUGGGGUGUAAAGCUCUGUCAACGGGAACGAAAAAAAUGACGGUACCCGUGGAGGAAGCAUCGGCUAACUACGUGCCAGCAGCCGCGGUAAGACGUAGGAUGCAAGCGUUGUCCGGAUUUAUUGGGCGUAAAGAGUUCGUAGGCUGUUUGUUAAGUCUGAUGUUAAAGACUGGGGCUCAACCUCGGAAAUGCAUUGGAUACUGGCAGACUGGAGUGCAGUAGAGGCUAGUGGAAUUCCCAGUGUAGCGGUGAAAUGCGUAGAUAUUGGGAAGAACACCGGUGGCGUAGGCGACUAGCUGGGCUGUAACUGACGCUGAGGAACGAAAGCCAGGGGAGCGAAUGGGAUUAGAUACCCCAGUAGUCCUGGCCGUAAACGAUGGA